Dipodomys ordii (Ord's kangaroo rat) is the source of this 106-nucleotide small nuclear RNA. The record is from Ensembl. Lineage: Eukaryota; Metazoa; Chordata; Mammalia; Rodentia; Heteromyidae.
GUGUUUUUUUCAGCAGCACAUACAUUAAAAUGGGACAACACAGAGAGGAUUAGCAUAGCUCCUGUGCAAGGAUGACACACAAAUUCAUGAAGCAGUCCAUUUUUGU